CUUGGUCAUUUAGAGGAAGUAAAAAGUCGUAACAAGGUUUCCGUAGGUGAACCUGCGGAAGGAUCAUUAUAGAAAUAAACCUGAGCAGGCUGUUUGCUGGUCCUCCCAAGGGACAUGUGCACGCUUGUCGUCUUUAUUCUUCCAACUGUGCACAUACUGUAGACCUGGAGCUUUUCUUAUCGUUCGAAUAGAUUGAGGACUGCCGCGGUGCGGCUUUGCCUUGUGUUUCCAGGUCUAUGUCGUAAUACAUUUUCACAACCUGUUUUGGAAUGUGGGGACAAGCAAAUAUACAACUUUCAGCAACGGAUCUCUUGGCUCUCGCAUCGAUGAAGAACGCAGCGAAAUGCGAUAAGUAAUGUGAAUUGCAGAAUUCAGUGAAUCAUCGAAUCUUUGAACGCAUCUUGCGCUCCUUGGUAUUACGAGGAGCAUGCCUGUUCGAGUGUCAUCAAAAGUUCUCAACCACACCGGUUCUUCUGGCGUGGCUUGGAUUUGGGGGUUUGCAGGCUUUGAACAGAAGUCGGCUCCCCUGAAAAGGAUUAGCAGUAUCUGAGCGGGAGACUACGUCGGGCGUGAUAAAUCACCUAUGCCUCGGUGUACCCGAUGUGUGAGACUGCUUCUAACUGAGUGUUGACAAGUUUGACCUCGAAUCAGGUAGGACUACCCGCUGAACUUAGGCAUAUCAAUAAGCGGAGGA
RNAcentral lists this ribosomal RNA (694 nucleotides) under uncultured Cortinariaceae. Its description in RNAcentral is "eukaryotic LSU rRNA". The stretch from base 292 to 445 matches the Rfam family "5.8S ribosomal RNA". The record is from RNAcentral. Lineage: Eukaryota; Fungi; Basidiomycota; Agaricomycetes; Agaricales; Cortinariaceae.